Long non-coding RNA from Cydia amplana, 1537 nucleotides. RefSeq lists it as uncharacterized. Lineage: Eukaryota; Metazoa; Arthropoda; Insecta; Lepidoptera; Tortricidae. The transcript is spliced from 2 exons. The record is from RefSeq and is a predicted model, not a curated record.
UAUGUUACACAUAAAGCAAGAUUUGAUGAACUGUAAAGGCCUUAUCACACAAAAAAAUAUUGAUAGGUUAUUCUUAGCUUCUUUGCUGUAGAAUCUCCAGGCAAAAAGUGUGUUCGGGUCUUUACAUAGUUAUUUUAUGGAUGAAAACAUUUGUUAUUAAUUACUUUGAAAAAAUAAUUUCUAAGUAGGUAUCAUUGGAUAAUUUACAUUUAUUUUGUGAAUUUAUCUAUUUAGUCAUGUAUAUAAAUGAGUUAAAUUAAAUGCAUUUAAUGUAGUUAGUACUCACCUUGCAUAAUCAAAAGAUGUAUUGCAAUGUUUAAUAUUUCUGACUAUUAGGUACUUGAAAUUGUAUAUACUAACUGUUAUGUUAUUGGACUUAUUGGCUAGUCGAGUGUACCUAUGCUAUUUGCCAGAAUCAUAGUUCAUGCAGAUUUUCAAAUUCAGUAAUACAGUGUACAGAAAUUUUAUUGUAGAUUAGGGUCUUAGUGCCUUUCACCAUUUAGGUGUGUUUAAAGAUAUCCACAAUGUUAACGAUGGGAAUUAAAGACAUGUAAGCGCUCAAGGACACCAAUAAAUAUAGCUGUGAUUUAAUAAUACAAAUGCAGAAUUUUUCAAUAUACUUAUUGUGUCAAAUAAUGUCGCUUCCAAUGUUGACCUAGCGCCUGUAUUACUUUAUGUUCCUUCCCGAUAUCAUAACUAGAAUAUAAAUAACAUAAUAGUAUUUUAAAUUUAAACUGUCGUAAGUCACACUGACAGUGUUUAACUAUGUACAUUUAUGAAGUUGCGCGUCGCGGUGACGAAAAGGUCGCUCUAAAAGUUCGGAAUUUGACACUGUAGUAGUGAAAUAGUAAAAGUGAAUACCUACCUAAAGCUAUGCUUUGUAUAUCUAUGAUAUUUAAUUAUAAUUUGCCAUUUUGAAGUUGUAAUUAACAUUAAUAUUUAAAUAUUUCACCAUGUGAUAUUUCCAUGUUAUCUGUUAUCGUGAUAAAUGAUUAAUAAUAUUAGAAUAUGUUGAUUUAUUCAUUACGUGAUGUAUACUUUUUAAGUUUUGUCAUGACAUGAUAACUACUAAGCUGGAAAAUUUAUAUAAGUAUAAAGCCUGUACUGUUGUUGUGUAUAUAUAUAUUUGGUAAUAUAAUGUUAUUUUCCCGGCGUGUCGAAAGUGUAGUAGAAGUCCGAUUUAUUUUAAGAUACCUAGGUAUUUCCUUUAUUAUACUUUUUAAUGGGCAAUUGAAAGUAUAUGUUUGUGAUAUCCGCGUCGACUGAGUAAACGUCCUAUUUGGUUUAUAAAGCUCAUCAUAAAUCAUAACUGUAGGUAACUAGAAAAGCAAUAAAAUUAUCCAUAUAUAACUCAAGGUAUUGGGUGUUUGCCUACGAUUGUGUGUAUAUAUUAGGACACCGUGUGAAACCAUAGAAAUUGAUGAAAUCUCGAGGCAAAUUCUUUUACAUAUUUUAUUACAGUAGAAACUAAAAUUAUUUUAUGUACAUAAGCGCAUUAAAAACAACAUUGUAUAAAUAAAUAAAUCUAAAGUGCGAA